CAGAUAUGCCCUAUGACAUUAAGUUUCUGGGAACUCCAAAAAACACCCACCCAUAAUCUCUGUUCAGUAGCAACACGACAAACUCUGCCUGUUUAACACAGAUGUGAUCGUUCUUACAAAGCUGCUUAUCCCAUUUCCCAACUACAUUUUUAAUAAGAAAUUGCUAGUAUCAGGGACUCAAAAUGUAAGCUCAUCUAUGCUGUUUCUGUUUAAAGAAAAAAGAAAGUGCAAGCAUUAUUAUUCCUGGUGAGUUCGUUGCUCCUUGGACUUCCUUGUACAGGAAACAGAUGUAAACUGAGACGUUCCAGCUAUCAGAGAAAUAUGACAUGCUGCCUUUCUCCUCUCUCCCUUUUUUGAAGACUUAAGCUUCCAGACUCCCUGCUAGAAAGCCUAAACGUUGCACAAGGAGAUGAAUUUCCCCAGCCUCAUCUGCAGAUCAGUUGCAGAAAACUGAUGAAACCAGAAGAGGUGAAAGACUUCUGGUGAUGGAGACUCAAAGCAAAAGACAGACACAGGAGACCCUCAGAUGGAAGAGAGAAGAGAAUGGAUUUUGUCACCAGCCUCUGAGAUACAUGUGUCUGCCUUACAGAUAGAAAGUUACUGCAAAGAGGACUUUUAUGCUGGCUGCAUACCUGUGUGGAAGCCACCUCUGUGGUUUACCUGGUUGAAGCUCCUGUUAGCACUUGAAUUUCAUCCAUCCUGCAGCAUGACCUGGUGGUUCUGUGAUACCACCAUCAGAAGAUGUAGGUAACCUUCAAUCUUUUAAUGUGUUCACCUGUCCUGGGACAAGUGAGGCAGAGAAACACAUCCUUGUAUCCUUGUUCGGUAGCUGAUGAAGUAAGGGCCUGAGAGGUGGGUUGUAUGGUGGCAGCAGAUGAGUGGCUUGGAUGUCUCCAGCCCUUAGGCUGGAGUCUUGUUUAUUAGCCCAGUCUUAAAAAUGUAUAAAAUCACAGUUACAAAUGAUAGGCUGUGGCAGCUGGCUGUGCCUGGCCUGUCAGAAUUAGGGAAUUUGUGUUUCUUUCUCAACAGCAAUGACUGAAGAGAAGGGUGCUGUUCACACUGACACACCCACAAACACUUACACUGGCUCAUUGUGAAACAUUUGGCAUUUCGUGUUGCACAAGCCAAAAGGGAAAGGAUUUAGGCUGACAACUGGAAGUAGAGGUGAAACAGCAGUCAAGGUGUACUGAGGAUGUUGCUAGCAUUUCAUAUCUCCAUGGAUCCCAGCCCAAAGAUGACAAAUAUCUAGUGCAGGGGACUAGAAAUGGCACUGGGAGAAAACAAGUUAAGGGAGUGACUAAGACAGGUUUCCCCCAUCAUUUUCUGUUUUGUAAUAUUAGAAAGAUCUGUUAUGGAUCAGUGUUUAUGAACCAGACAGCAGUGACCUUUUAGAAAUGGGAUUUGGCUGGGGUCUUACAAAGGUCCUCAAUAAUGUAAACUCUACUCACACAAAUAAAGAACACAAAGUGAGAUUUCUGCA
This 1480-nucleotide long non-coding RNA is filed under the name Anas platyrhynchos platyrhynchos (common mallard). RNAcentral's name for it is "lncRNA (ENSAPLG00000019113.1)". The record is from RNAcentral. Lineage: Eukaryota; Metazoa; Chordata; Aves; Anseriformes; Anatidae.